RNAcentral lists this ribosomal RNA (465 nucleotides) under Vreelandella stevensii. Its description in RNAcentral is "partial 16S ribosomal RNA". It matches the Rfam family "Bacterial small subunit ribosomal RNA", at positions 338 to 795 of the family's 1533-position model. Lineage: Bacteria; Pseudomonadati; Pseudomonadota; Gammaproteobacteria; Oceanospirillales; Halomonadaceae. The record is from RNAcentral.
CCUACGGGGGGCUGCAGUGGGGAAUAUUGGACAAUGGGGGCAACCCUGAUCCAGCCAUGCCGCGUGUGUGAAGAAGGCCCUCGGGUUGUAAAGCACUUUCAGUGAGGAAGAACGCCUGGUGGUUAAUACCCAUCAGGAAAGACAUCACUCACAGAAGAAGCACCGGCUAACUCCGUGCCAGCAGCCGCGGUAAUACGGAGGGUGCGAGCGUUAAUCGGAAUUACUGGGCGUAAAGCGCGCGUAGGUGGCUUGAUAAGCCGGUUGUGAAAGCCCCGGGCUCAACCUGGGAACGGCAUCCGGAACUGUCAAGCUAGAGUGCAGGAGAGGAAGGUAGAAUUCCCGGUGUAGCGGUGAAAUGCGUAGAGAUCGGGAGGAAUACCAGUGGCGAAGGCGGCCUUCUGGACUGACACUGACACUGAGGUGCGAAAGCGUGGGUAGCAAACAGGAUUAGAUACACCAGUAGUC